Molecule: ribosomal RNA, 517 nt
Filed under: SRB bacterium enrichment culture clone SRtB-otu9-1
Lineage: Bacteria
Description: bacterial SSU rRNA
Rfam family: Bacterial small subunit ribosomal RNA
Source: RNAcentral
UUUGAUCAUGGCUCAGGAUGAACGCUGGCGGCGUGCCUAACACAUGCAAGUCGAGCGAGAAUUUGUGGAAUGCGGACUUCGGUCCAAAUGAAAUGAAGGAAAGCGGCGGACGGGUGAGUAACGCGUGGGUAACCUGCCCCAUACAAUGGGAUAGCCACUGGAAACGGUGAUUAAUACCAUAUGAAGCUUCAUGGUCGCAUGGCUGAGAAGUUAAGGAUUUAUCGGUAUGGGAUGGACCCGCGUCUGAUUAGCUAGUUGGUGAGGUAACGGCUCACCAAGGCGACGAUCAGUAGCCGACCUGAGAGGGUGAUCGGCCACACUGGAACUGAGACACGGUCCAGACUCCUACGGGGGGCAGCAGUGGGGAAUAUUGCACAAUGGGCGCAAGCCUGAUGCAGCAACGCCGUGUGAGUGAAGAAGGCCUUCGGGUCGUAAAACUCUGUCCUAUGGGAAGAAAAAAAUGACGGUACCAUAGGAGGAAGCCCCGGCUAACUACGUGCCAGCCGCCGCGGUAAUC